AGCAGCCGCGGUAAUUCCAGCUCCAAUAGCGUAUAUUAAAGUUGUUGCAGUUAAAAAGCUCGUAGUUGAAUUUCGGGGUCAGUAGGUUGGUCAUGCCACUGGUAUGUACUGGUCUCACUGAUUCCUCCUUCCUGAUGAGCCGUAAUGCCAUUAAUUUGGUGUUGCGAGGAAUCUGGACUGUUACUUUGAAAAAUUAGAGUGUUUAAAGCAGGCUAACGCUUGAAUACAUUAGCAUGGAAUAAUGAAAUAGGACGUUCGAUCUUAUUUUGUUGGUUUCUAAGAUUGACGUAAUGAUUAAUAGGGAUAGUUGGGGGCAUUAGUAUUCAAUUGUCAGAGGUGAAAUUUUUGGAUUUAUUGAAGACUAACUACUGCGAAAGCAUUUGCCAAGGAUGUUUUCAUUAAUCAAGAACGAAAGUUAGGGGGUCGAAGACGAUCAGAUACCGUCGUAGUCUUAACCAUAAACUAUGCCGACUAGGGAUCGGAUGAUGUUAAUUUUUAAUGUACUCA
Molecule: ribosomal RNA, 507 nt
Filed under: uncultured Glomeraceae
Lineage: Eukaryota; Fungi; Glomeromycota; Glomeromycetes; Glomerales; Glomeraceae
Description: SSU rRNA
Rfam family: Eukaryotic small subunit ribosomal RNA
Source: RNAcentral